Molecule: ribosomal RNA, 1154 nt
Filed under: Candidatus Phytoplasma asteris group sp.
Lineage: Bacteria; Bacillati; Mycoplasmatota; Mollicutes; Acholeplasmatales; Acholeplasmataceae
Description: bacterial SSU rRNA
Rfam family: Bacterial small subunit ribosomal RNA
Source: RNAcentral
AAAGACCUAGCAAUAGGUAUGCUUAGGGAGGAGCUUGCGUCACAUUAGUUAGUUGGUGGGGUAAAGGCCUACCAAGACUAUGAUGUGUAGCCGGGCUGAGAGGUUGAACGGCCACAUUGGGACUGAGACACGGCCCAAACUCCUACGGGAGGCAGCAGUAGGGAAUUUUCGGCAAUGGAGGAAACUCUGACCGAGCAACGCCGCGUGAACGAUGAAGUAUUUCGGUACGUAAAGUUCUUUUAUUAGGGAAGAAUAAAUGAUGGAAAAAUCAUUCUGACGGUACCUAAUGAAUAAGCCCCGGCUAACUAUGUGCCAGCAGCCGCGGUAAUACAUAGGGGGCAAGCGUUAUCCGGAAUUAUUGGGCGUAAAGGGUGCGUAGGCGGUUAAAUAAGUUUAUGGUCUAAGUGCAAUGCUCAACAUUGUGAUGCUAUAAAAACUGUUUAGCUAGAGUAAGAUAGAGGCAAGUGGAAUUCCAUGUGUAGUGGUAAAAUGCGUAAAUAUAUGGAGGAACACCAGUAGCGAAGGCGGCUUGCUGGGUCUUUACUGACGCUGAGGCACGAAAGCGUGGGGAGCAAACAGGAUUAGAUACCCUGGUAGUCCACGCCGUAAACGAUGAGUACUAAACGUUGGGUAAAACCAGUGUUGAAGUUAACACAUUAAGUACUCCGCCUGAGUAGUACGUACGCAAGUAUGAAACUUAAAGGAAUUGACGGGACUCCGCACAAGCGGUGGAUCAUGUUGUUUAAUUCGAAGGUACCCGAAAAACCUCACCAGGUCUUGACAUGCUUCUGCAAAGCUGUAGAAACACAGUGGAGGUUAUCAGUUGCACAGGUGGUGCAUGGUUGUCGUCAGCUCGUGUCGUGAGAUGUUGGGUUAAGUCCCGCAACGAGCGCAACCCUUAUUGUUAGUUACCAGCACGUAAUGGUGGGGACUUUAGCAAGACUGCCAGUGAUAAAUUGGAGGAAGGUGGGGACGACGUCAAAUCAUCAUGCCCCUUAUGACCUGGGCUACAAACGUGAUACAAUGGCUGUUACAAAGGGUAGCUGAAGCGCAAGUUUUUGGCGAAUCUCAAAAAAACAGUCUCAGUUCGGAUUGAAGUCUGCAACUCGACUUCAUGAAGUUGGAAUCGCUAGUAAUCGCGAAUCAGCAUGUCC